Non-coding RNA from Arachis ipaensis, 312 nucleotides. Lineage: Eukaryota; Viridiplantae; Streptophyta; Magnoliopsida; Fabales; Fabaceae. The record is from RefSeq and is a predicted model, not a curated record.
CUCUCUCAGCCACCACAAGCAGUAGCCACCGCCUCUACCACCGUCGAACUCUUCUCGUCAGCUAAAAGGUGUUGUCACCGCGCGCAGUGACAGAGAGAGUGUCAGAUUGAAGCCGUUGUCCGUCGUUCCUCUUCUCCACGCCGUCGCCUCUGGACUUGCAUGUCGAAGCUCGUGGCCGUCUUCUACUCUUUUCUACAUCGUGGUCGUGGUCGUGGACUUGCAGAUCGAGGAUCUGACAGUUUGAAUCCUAUCCUCGUCUCUGUCUCGCCGUUCUACCCUCCUCGACAGUUGAGUAAGACAUAACAUGGCAAC